CUCUUUCCCCAAAUUAAGAAAACCUAUUUUUUUUCUCAGUCUUCGCCUUUUGUUGCCCUUAUGCCUCUGUCUCUUGUCGUCACUACUCCGACAUUCUUCACCACCUCGUCGUUAGUGCUCCAGCAUUGUUCACCACUGGUGUGUUCUUUCUCCUGUUGUCUUCUUUUUCUUUUCUCUCAUUUUUUUCUUCUUUUCCAUUUCAACUCUAAGUGUGUUUUGUGUUUUUCGUUUUAGCUCUAACCUUCACCACAAUUGUUCCAUGAAGUCCACCUCCACCUCUUGCUCCACCACAUUCAGCUGCCAGUGCCUUCACCGUCGCUGCUCCAAUGUCAUUCAUCUGAGGUAAACUUUUAAAAUUUCAAAAAUUUUGAUAAUUUUUUUUUGUGUGAAUACUAGUGUUUAUGUGAAUUUAUGUGAUUGUGCUUGAGUUUAUGUAAAUGAUUUUACUGCAAACAUAAUUCUGUUUUGAUAAUAAAAAAAUGUUCAUUUUAAUUUUACUAAAACUAAUUUAAUAGGAUUUAGGGUUUCAAUUUAAUUAAAACUGAUUUAAUAAGAUUUGAAGGUUAAAGUUUUCUUAAAAAAAAAAUGGAACUGAGAAUAAAAGGAGAAGUAAUUAAUAAAAAAAGGAAAGGUAAUUAAUAUAAAAAGUGAUAAUUUUUUUGGAAAAAAAUUUAUUACCAUUUAAAAAUAAUUUAGGAAAUUAUGUUUUUUAUUUUUUUUUUCAUUUAAUAUCUUUUAAUAAUUAACUACAGAUUUAGAAUUUUUUUUUUCAUUGAUUAUGUUGUAAUUAAUGGUUAUGUUGUAAUAAUUAAGUACAUUACAAAUUUAGAAGUUUAAUUUUUUUUCCUUUGAUGAUUAUGUUGUAACAAUUAAAUACAUUUAGAAGUUUUUCAUUUUUUCGUAGUGUUUAAAAAAAAUAUUGCUGCUGCUGAGAGUAAAGUUUUUCAUUUUUCCAUUGGUUAUUUAAAAAAAAAAUUAAAAUGUGAUGGGUGUACAAAAUAAAUAGGUGCUGCAGAGAGUAAAAGUCAUGGGCAGAGAUUGGGCCAUGUUUUUCUAGAAAAUGUUACAAAUAGUGAUUUGGGGGUGUAUAAAUUAAAUAGGGGCUGCAUAGAGUAGAAGCGAUAGGCAACGGAAUGGGGCCAUGUUUUUCAUUAAUAUGUUGCAAAAUAGUGAACUGGUAGGUCUAGAAAACAAAUAGAGACUGCAUAGAGUAAAAGUUUUGGACAGAAGAAUGGGCCCAUAUUUUUCAAGAAAAUGUUACAAAUAGUGAUGUGGGGUGUAUAAAUUUAAUAGGGGCUGCAUAGAAUAAAAGUGAUGGGCAGAAUAGACUAAAAGUUAUAGGCAGCAUAAUGGACCCAUGUUUUUCAUAUCAAUAUGUUGGAAGUAGUGAUGUGGGGGUGUAUAUAAAAUAAAUAUGGCCUGCAUAGAGUAAAAGUGAAGCGCAGAAAAAUGGGCCAAUAUUUUCCAUUAUUAUUUUGCAAGUAGUGAAGUAGUGGGUAUGGAAAAUAAAUUGGCCCAAGUUUCAAAUAACUAAAAUAUUUUAAAAAUUGUGAUAGAUAAAAAAUGAAUUAAGAGAGUAAACUUAUUUCAUUUUUAUAUGUACGUGGUAAAUGAAAUCAUGAUGUAUGUAUUAUGUUGUAUGAGUUACGAUGUUUAUACAUAGGCAUUAAAUGAAAUUAUGAUGUAUGUAUUACGUUGUUUAUACGUACGCGUUAACUAAAAUUUUGAUGUAUGAAUUAUUGUAUUAUAUUUAGCUCAAACCUUAUUUUAUCCUAUUUGAUUAGGAUUUUCAAAUACAAAAAUUCUUAAACUACUACGAUAAUUAAUUUCGAUGUAUGAAUUAUUGUAUUAUAUUUAGCUCGAACGUUAUUGUACUGGCCAGACCUUGGACAUCGGCUGAAGAAGAGGCCGACAUCAGACGUCAACAUCGGACCUCGGUGGUCUGACAGUAAUAAUGGGCCACUAAGCUGGGCCUCACAAAUAGUAUGAGUUAACACCCAGAUAUGAGAAAGACCUAAAUCGCGAGAGGAUCAGGCAUGGGGUGUGUAUAGUACAUUCUGGUACGACACAAGCAAGUGUUCCCUGGAGGCGCUAAGGCCCGUAAGGGUUAGGGUUUCCAAGGAAAGAUUGCAUGCAUGGCACGUGAAUAAUUAGGGCACCCACAGAACAGAUGGCGCCACAGUGCUGGUACAUGAGUUGGUACCCUGGCGGCUAUACUGUUAAGAGAUAUUGCACUCCAGAAGAGGCAAGUCUUGUGUUGCGGCUGCGCUAAGCUUGUGCAACAAGUCGCAAGAUGCCUCACCAGUAACCCUAAUUCCACUUAAGGAAAGAUCCUUGUGGGACAGGGAAGUUAACUUAAUCACAACCCAUAUAAAGGGUGGUAAGAACCCUAGAAAGGUAUGCCGUUUCUAAGACUGAAACUGUUUUACAUACUUAUUGUUUUCUAGCCCAGUACUGACUUGAUCGUCGGAGUGCAAUCAACAUGUAGGGCCCCCUCUGUUUCAACGGAGCCACUCUCAACUACCCAAGGAGAGAACGGAAACCACCAGGAGAUAGGAGGAGCCACCAUCUGCCUUUGAAGUCAACGGCGGUUGAGUCAACCAGCGAGAACAAUUAUUGUAUACUAUUCGUCUAGGAUUUACAAAUACAAAAUUAUUACACUAACACAAUAAUAAUUACAUGAAUUAAUAUGUUUUAAAUAUUUACAUACUAAGUUUAAACAAUUAAGUUCACAUGUGACCUGCAGUGCAUUGGAAAAUGAUAUCCACAUGAUUCAUGUAUUAGAACGUCUGCAGGGUAUAAGUAUACUAUUAAGUGUUGAUAAUUUAAUCAUCAACAUGUAGAACAAUGGAUUGAGAUUGAAUGUAUGAAAUGCUUGAUUCUUUAAGAAGAUUGAGAUAACCCUUCAUAGAUGUUGUUCAUGAUUUUGUUUCUAAGGCAAUGAAUCAAGUUUCAUACAUACCAGAUGGAAGGGUAAGGUGUCUGUCUGUGAAAUGUUGUUGUGAGAAAAUUCUCAAACCUUCUCAUGUCAGGAGUCAUCUGUUUCAACAUGCUUUUAACCCAACUAUAGGGUAUGGGUUUUAUCACAGAGAAGUAUGGACAAAUGAGGUUAACUUAAACAUUGCAUUCACUAGUUAUCAUAACAUAAGGCGUGAUGAUUAUUUUGGGUCAUUAGCCGAAAUGGUGAACAAUGCAUACAUGCAAGAAAGUGAUAUAAAAACUCGCUAUGUCAAUGUUAUCAAGGAUGUAGAAGAGCAACCUAACACUGAAGCACAAAAGUUUUAUGAUAUGUUAGCAUCUGCUCAUGAACCCAUUUAUGAUGGAGCAACUCAAUCUAAAUUAUCAAUAGCCAUAAGGCUUUUCGGCGCUAGAACCAAUUGGCACACAACUUAAAAUUGUUUAGAUUAUUUCAUUGAAAUGUUACUUGAUGUAGCUUCAAUAGAGAAUUGCAUACUCAAGACUUAUUAUGAAGCAAAAAAAGUUGUCUCUACUCUUGUCUUGAAGGUUGUCAAGAUGAUUGUUGUGAGGUUGGAUGCAUGUUGUAUUACAAGGACGACAUCAAACUAAAUGAGUACAAAUUGUGUGGUCUUCCUAGGUACUUACCUCCAAAGGGUAAGAAUAAAACGUAUAAAAGAGUGGUGAUAAAAAGAAUGUUUUAUUUGUCUGUCCUUCCAUGAUUACAAAAGACUAUAUACGUCAAUGGAGUCACCAAGCCAAACGUGAUGGCAUUUUGAAAACAAAACUAAUGAUGAUGUAUUGUGACAUCCCUAUGAUGGGAAUGCUUGGAAACAUUUUGAUAGUGUAUAUGCAAGCAUAUUUGAUGUGGACAAUUAAUGAUUUUCCAGCAUAUGUGAUGUUUUCAGGGUGUGGGACUAAAGGGAAAUUAGCUUGUGCUUAUUGUAUGGAGGAUAUAAAAGCAUUCACGUUAAAGCAUGGAGGUAAAAGUUCUUGGUUUGACUGUCAUCGACAAUUUUUGCCAACCAAUCAUCCUUUUAAGAGGAUUCAGAGGAGAUUCCUUAAAAAUAAAGUUGAAAUGGAUAACCCACCAGUCUUAAAUGGAAAUAAAUUAUGGGAGAUUCUUUGUGACUUCCCAAAAGUAGCAUAUGGUCCACCCUACUCUAGCUUAUUAUUCUCUUUGGACCCCCAAAAAGAGCCAAAAGUAUUUGCAUAAACUUAUCUUGUAAAAAGACCAUAAGAAAGAAGAUCUGAUGCUCUGGCCUAUGUCUAGUUCUUCUUCUGUUGAGGCCUUCUGAUGUUUUGUGGGGCCUGGUCUUGUAUGCUGAGAUGACUGACCUAAUUCUAAAGUGUCAGUUGUGUCCUUAGUCAUCUGCUUGUCGAGGUGGUUUGUAUCAUACACCCCCCCUAAGUUGAAAACAAUUUGAACUCGAAUUUAGAACUUCUGUAAAUAACAUAGUUAGUUUGUUCACAGGAUAGAUAGAAAAAUUCCUAGCAGCGAGUGGUGAAUCAAACUUAUGUUCAUGAAGUUUUGGGAGUUCGCAUGGAUGAGUUUUAGAUACAUGCCAUGUUUGUACAGGAUGUUUUGGGAGGAAAUUAUUUGUUUGUGAAAAUCCUUUUAAAAGGUGAGAACCCUUAGGAGGUUUUUUAAUAUCAUCCCUAAACUUCUUUAUCAAAGAUGUCAAAUAUUUAGAAUGAUUUGGUAAUGAAAAAGACAAGGAAGAAGUAUACCUAGGAGGCACAUUUAGUUUUGUUCGAGUCAACAUUAUUGUUUUGACUGCGUGAGACAAGAUGAUGAGACACGUUUUGAUUUUUACUUUCCUCACCUUUUUCAUUUUCUCUUUUGGUUUUCAGUUUUACUUGGUCCUCAUUAACUUCCUUGGGAGAAAGGUGUUUUAAUAUAACUUUUUGCCCUUGAAAGUUGAAGAAAUCUUAAUGGUAUGACCAUCAUGUAAAAUUUUUCUAUCAUAUUGUUAAGUCCUUCCCAAUAGAAUAUGUAUUGCUUCCAUUGGUACACCAUCACAUAAAACCUCAUCUUUAUACUUUUCGAUAGAAAAAGUUAUGAGGACUUAUUUAUUAACCAUAAUUUCACCCUCUUCAUUAAGUCAUUGUAGUUUAUAAGGCUUUGUAUCAGAGAUGGUGGGUAAUCCAAGUUUCUCCACUACUCUUGUACUUGCCACAUUAGCACAAUUACCCCCAUCUACGAUCAUGGAACAUAACUUGUUUUUUAUAAGGCAGUGGGUGUGGAAAAUAUUUUCUCUUUGGGUUUCAUCAAAAGAUUUUAGAAUCAUACCCAAUAGUCGCUUUACCAUCAAUAAGUCACCUUCACAAGGUAUCUCACAUUCAUUUUCACUAGGGAUUUUUUAAGCAGCAGGGGAGUUAGACCUAGAGGAUUAAUCACUAUGGCCACUGACUACUAUCCCCCAUUUUACCAUCAUGGUUCUUUUGUUAGGGAAAUUUGCAGAGAUAUGACCAAAACCUAAAAUAUUUGGAAGGUAUUAUUAUAUCUGUUAAUUUUGUAUUUUUAACCUAAGUUGUUUCUUUUGGAUCAAAACAGAAAACAAAAUCUGAAAUAAAGAAUUAGAGAAUUAAAUCCGUAAUAUCUCUCACAACAAUGUUGGAAUCAAUUACAAUCAAUGCACAAAUAUGAAGAAAAUUGGAAACAAUAUAUCUGGAAGAGAAGCAAGAAUAAAAUUUGAGACUAUUUGGGAAUGAAGAUGUUUAAUAAUUUGAAAUAGAAAAGGAAACAUCUGAUAAUUGUAAAACAAUAUCAUAAGGCCGAUUUUUAAUAUGAUUUUGUUCAAGGGAAAGAAGAUUAAAAAAGAGACUUUAGAGGAAGGAAGAAACAACUUUGUGGAUCGCCUUUAAGAGGAACAAACACAUUCUAGACCUAGUUUUCUUUUCUUCUUUGUAAUUAUUUUGAUUUGCCUCCGCAUGGAAGACUAAUCCUUUUUGGUUGAUUCCUUUGUAUUUUCCCAUUGAGUUAUGAGGUUUUGGUCCAUAAAAGUUUCGAUUUCUAAUUCUCUAUAAUAGUUGUUUUAAUAGUCUUAUCUCCUGGAAAACUGGUUUUUGUUAGAGGUUGUAUUUGAAUGCAUUAUUGAGAGUCUUCCUUAUCUUAAACUUUUGUUUCUUAGUUAGUUUGCAUUGUUCUAAUUAAUUUCUUGGGCGCAUGAUUCAAGGGACACGAGAUAAGCAUUCCCAUGGAGUAUACGCAUGGAACAAAGUGGGUAUUGAUUAAACCAAUAGACGCAUGUUUUACUAGUGAGCGUCAGUUGAAUUAGAUUGGCGCAUGUUCAAUUUGGUUUAGCUCUAUUGGAGGAUUAAGAAAAGAAUAAUCUUUAGAGAACCUGUGAAGAAUUCAAUGGUGGAAGAACUUGGGGAUCAACCGCUUUUUAUUUGCUAUUUUAAUCUCAAUUAUAUUUUCUGCACAACUAUCUCAACCCCCUUUUAUUAUUAUAAUUGUUAACUUUUAU
Molecule: long non-coding RNA, 6428 nt
Filed under: Phaseolus vulgaris (common bean)
Lineage: Eukaryota; Viridiplantae; Streptophyta; Magnoliopsida; Fabales; Fabaceae
Description: long non-coding RNA (PVUL_LNC002942)
Source: RNAcentral